CCCAGCCAAUCAAGAGGGUACUGGCUAGACGGUCGGAGGACCGUAUCUCCAUGGUAUUGCAGGCGAAGACCCUGGCUGCAAUCCCCGCAGUCCAUCAAGCCUCACCCGAUUGGAAGACUGGUUGGUGGGAACGGGAGGAGGCGCAGAAUCUACUUAAACUACCGACCACGUAAAGUCCACUCCAGCCCGCUAGACGCCGAGAGCGAGAGGCCACGCCAGAGAGGAGUUUCACAGCUACCAGCCCAGCAGUGACCAGGACCAUGAGAUGAUCCCACCAACUACUAUGCCAUUGCCAUGAGAGGAUGAGUCUAAGGAAGGCAGAGAAAAGGGCUUGUUCCCCAAGACCAUGGAGCUGUCUACAGAAGGGGUCUGCCUCAUAUACUGGAGGGAAGAGUGUUACACAGAGAGGCCAAGAAAAAUGCUGCAGCAGACAUGCCAUGCUCAAGUGUCCUUUCCUUCAGGAAGUCCUACUGAUUCCAAUCUGACAUCCCUCAGAGGGGCCUUAACAGAAGAAGAUAUCUGCCUCAGGAUCUAGAAAAUGCUGGCCCCAGGAGGUUGAGGUUCCCUUUGGUGUGAUGAAGAGGAAACAGAGACUAAAGACAUGAUACUCUUAGAAGAAGGUGACCCCCACCCAGCACAGGGAUUUCCUGCCUUUUAUUCCAUUAUACCUCCUUUUCUCCCCUCACAAAUGCUGUUCCCUCACUGACCUCCCGGCCUUCCCUUGGAGAUUUGAGAUAGAAAAUAUCUCUGCCUUCCUCAAGUCUGGCUUUGAAUAAACCUGUUUCCCUGCAUCAACCUCUGUUUUUUUUUUAACUUUGGUUAAGCAGUGAGCAGUAGAACCUUUGAUUCCAGUAACAAAAUGAUUGGGAUCUAUCUCAUGGUGCUGUUUUUGUAAAAAAGAGUUAAGAUCAGUGUGUCAUGCACCUGGUGAACUUGGGAGGAACCAAGUCUGGGCCUUUUUGUCACCAUGACCCAUUUCUUGGCUUUUGUUGUUGUUGUUGUUGCAGUGCUGGGGAAACCCAGGCUGGAAACCCGGGCUUUCACAUAUGCUAAUACUGAGCUACUUGCAGCCCCUUUUAUUUUUUCUUCCUUGAUGGUCACCUACCUAGUCCUGGGCACACAUGUUAAAUUGUUUUUAUUUUUGUUUUGAC
Molecule: long non-coding RNA, 1151 nt
Organism: Sciurus carolinensis (gray squirrel)
Lineage: Eukaryota; Metazoa; Chordata; Mammalia; Rodentia; Sciuridae
Exons: 6
Source: RefSeq, a predicted model, not a curated record